GGAGAGGUGCCGGAGUGGUUGAACGGGCUCGUCUCGAAAACGAGAAUAGCCGCAAGGUUAUCGAGGGUUCGAAUCCCUCCCUUUCCG
Molecule: transfer RNA, 87 nt
Filed under: Anaerolineae bacterium
Lineage: Bacteria; Bacillati; Chloroflexota; Anaerolineae
Description: tRNA-Ser
Rfam family: tRNA
About the family: Transfer RNA (tRNA) molecules are approximately 80 nucleotides in length. Their secondary structure includes four short double-helical elements and three loops (D, anti-codon, and T loops).
Source: RNAcentral